UCCUGGCUCAGGAUGAACGCUGGCGGCGUGCUUAACACAUGCAAGUCGAGCGAAGCACUCUGUCUGAUUUCUUCGGAUUGAAGACAGUUUGACUGAGCGGCGGACGGGUGAGUAACGCGUGGGGAACCUGCCUUACACAGGGGGAUAACAGUUAGAAAUGGCUGCUAAUACCGCAUAACCCGCUGGGGUCGCAUGACUCUGACGGAAAAGAUUGUAUCGGUGUAAGAUGGACCCGCGUCUGAUUAGCUGGUUGGUGAGGUAACGGCUCACCAAGGCGACGAUCAGUAGCCGACCUGAGAGGGUGAUCGGCCACAUUGGGACUGAGACACGGCCCAAACUCCUACGGGAGGCAGCAGUGGGGAAUAUUGCACAAUGGGGGAAACCCUGAUGCAGCAACGCCGCGUGAGUGAAGAAGUAUUUCGGUAUGUAAAGCUCUAUCAGCAGGGAAGAAAUUGACAGUACCUGACUAAGAAGCCCCGGCUAACUACGUG
This 491-nucleotide ribosomal RNA is filed under the name uncultured Lachnospiraceae bacterium. Its description in RNAcentral is "bacterial SSU rRNA". It matches the Rfam family "Bacterial small subunit ribosomal RNA", at positions 17 to 507 of the family's 1533-position model. Lineage: Bacteria; Bacillati; Bacillota; Clostridia; Lachnospirales; Lachnospiraceae. The record is from RNAcentral.